UGGGGAAUUUUGGACAAUGGGCGAAAGCCUGAUCCAGCCAUGCCGCGUGAGUGAAGAAGGCCUUCGGGUUGUAAAGCUCUUUUAGUCGGAAAGAAAGAGUUGCAAUGAAUAAUUGUGAUUUAUGACGGUACCGACAGAAAAAGCACCGGCUAACUACGUGCCAGCAGCCGCGGUAAUACGUAGGGUGCGAGCGUUAAUCGGAAUUACUGGGCGUAAAGGGUGCGCAGGCGGUCUUGCAAGUCAGAUGUGAAAGCCCCGGGCUUAACCUGGGAAUUGCGUUUGAAACUACAAGGCUAGAGUGCAAGAGAGGGGAGUGGAAUUCCAUGUGUAGCAGUGAAAUGCGUAGAGAUGUGGAAGAACACCGAUGGCGAAGGCAGCUCCCUGGAUUGACACUGACGCUCAUGCACGAAAGCGUGGGGAGCAAACA
RNAcentral lists this ribosomal RNA (427 nucleotides) under uncultured beta proteobacterium. RNAcentral describes it as "bacterial SSU rRNA". It matches the Rfam family "Bacterial small subunit ribosomal RNA", at positions 355 to 774 of the family's 1533-position model. Lineage: Bacteria; Pseudomonadati; Pseudomonadota; Betaproteobacteria. The record is from RNAcentral.